CUACGGGAGGCAGCAGUGGGGAAUUUUGCGCAAUGGGGGAAACCCUGACGCAGCAAUACCGCGUGAGUGAAGAAGGCCUUUGGGUCGUAAAGCUCUUUUCUUGGGGAAGAUAGUGACGGUACCCAAGGAAUAAGCACCGGCUAACUCCGUGCCAGCAGCCGCGGUAAUACGGAGGGUGCAAGCGGUGUUCGGAUUUACUGGGCGUAAAGGGCACGUAGGCGGCACAGCAAGUUAAGGGUGAAAUCCCGGGGCUCAACUCCGGAACUGCUCUUAAAACUGCUGAGCUAGAGAUAGGCAGAGGCGGGUGGAAUUCCAGGUGUAGAGGUGAAAUUCGUAGAUAUCUGGAGGAACACCGGUGGCGAAGGCGGCCCGCUGGGGCUAUUCUGACGCUAAGGUGCGAAAGCGUGGGGAGCAAACGGGAUUAGAUACCCUUGUAGUC
RNAcentral lists this ribosomal RNA (439 nucleotides) under uncultured bacterium. RNAcentral describes it as "partial 16S ribosomal RNA". It matches the Rfam family "Bacterial small subunit ribosomal RNA", at positions 339 to 795 of the family's 1533-position model. The record is from RNAcentral.